Non-coding RNA from Nylanderia fulva, 1715 nucleotides. NCBI's taxonomy places the organism in Eukaryota, Metazoa, Arthropoda, Insecta, Hymenoptera, Formicidae. The record is from RefSeq and is a predicted model, not a curated record.
CAUUUUAAAGACGUUAUUUUUUUGAAUAUUUAUUAGUGGUGCAAAGCAUUGCUUAGUGCAAAUUUCAAAAGUUUAUUAAUGUAUUUUUUGUUUCAAUUUCAGAUGGCAUCUUGCAAAGGAAUAUUAUGACAAGCAAUGUAAAGAAAAUGCACAGGUAGAACCUGUAAAUUCAGUGCAAGGGAUUAAAGGAAGCUUAAACUUUAUUGAAAGAAGAAAAAAUUGUGUGAAAGGAUUACGAAAAUAUAUAUUUCAAGCAAUUCAAAAACAUUAUUAUAAGAACUGAUUGCAAUUUUACCGAAAGAUAUUACUAUACAAGAUUUUUACGAGAAUUAAGGUUAAAUUCGAUUAAACUAGAAUUUGAGAAAAUGCUUGAUCUACCAGGCAGACAGCAGCUUAUGGAACGGGUUGCUAUUUUUGUGGCACAAUCACUUCAGCCUGAAAAGGAUGUCUUUUACUCGAACGUAAAAACAUCAUUGGAUAGAAUUGCACAAGAUGUACUGAAUUGUCUCAGAGAGAAGCAUCUUAAACAUUCAAUAUUCUCCACGUCUGAUGAAACUUUUUCCUAUUGGGAAAACAACAAUAUUGAUGAUAAUCACUGGGACGAAAAAGAAAGUACGCAGAUUAUGGAUACACUCCAGAAAUAUAUAUUUGAAGCAUUGAACUACCGAACAUGUAAUCCGAGAGACACAACUGUGGAAUGUUUAUAUAUAGACAGAGUCUUAAAAAAUAAGUGCGGACACGAAAUAAUUUUAUUAAUAAUAUAUCAGCGUGGCCAGGAGACUUGGUCUAUGUUGUCAAAUAAUAAAACUGGAACAUCACUAUUGUAUAUUUUGGACACCAAAAUAAUAAUGCCACGAAUAAUUGUUUAGAAAAUGCAAGAUGUUUUAACAUAAUUUUUGAGCAAUUCCGGGUUUGUUUUAUCAACCAAUUACCGCUAUUCUGGACGCUGUACACUAACAGACAUGCAUUAUCUAUAUUUAUAAAUGCCACAGAGAUUUGAACAAUAUAAAAAUAUUAUUUUUAAAUUUAAAAAUCAAAUAUAAUAGAUUUUUCGGACUUUAUCCGCGUGAAUCUCGAUUUUACAGCUGUACUUAUGAGAUCUCCCUUCGCUUUAAAAAAGGAAGGCAGUUAAAUACAAGACCAGAGGAUGUAAAAUGUGCAAUAGAGAUGAUAGUAACACAUCGUGACAACGAUAAUCAAGAUACUUGUGCCGGCGUGAUAAUCGGAUGGCAUCGACCUGAAGAUACAAAUGUUAAGUUUGAUUUGUCAACCUAUGACGAUAGUGAAAUUUUUUCCUAUUAUAUUCAACGUGCAUUGCCAUUGAUUCACAAUUACGGAUUUAGAAAACAACAAACAAAUUAUAUAAUUCUCACUGAAAAUAAUAAUAUAUGUUAUGUAAAUGAAGACACUAUAAAUCUAACAGAGCCGAAAUGGAUCGAUAAUAGCCAGAUAGAUCCCUAUUUUUGCGAAUUCAAAAAUACGCAUUACAUGCCAAAUAAGAUGCUGAGAAAAUUUUAUCCACACGACGCCGCUAUAACUAUACUCAGACAAUAAUAAUAGAAAAUUAACUACAUAAAUUACAUUAUGCAAUAUGUAGAAUAUACAUAACUUUUUUUAUUUUUAAUGACAAAGUUCUCAUAUUAUUCAUAUAUUUAACAAAUGCUUGUAGAAUAAAUCUAUCUAUAUAUUUAACUUUAACUAAUUUCGAAAUUAUA